This is a non-coding RNA of Acanthosepion pharaonis, 113 nucleotides long. NCBI's taxonomy places the organism in Eukaryota, Metazoa, Mollusca, Cephalopoda, Sepiida, Sepiidae. The record is from the annotation of a GenBank genome assembly.
GGUCAAAAUCACGCUGAAACACCGGUUCUCGUUCCGAUCACCGAAGUUAAGCAGGUAGAGCCAAGUCAGUACUUAGAUGGGGACCGCUUUCACUUGAACACCUGGUAAUGUAA